This 209-nucleotide ribosomal RNA is filed under the name Escherichia coli. RNAcentral's name for it is "partial 16S ribosomal RNA". It matches the Rfam family "Bacterial small subunit ribosomal RNA", at positions 1 to 216 of the family's 1533-position model. The record is from RNAcentral. Lineage: Bacteria; Pseudomonadati; Pseudomonadota; Gammaproteobacteria; Enterobacterales; Enterobacteriaceae.
AAAUUGAAGAGUUUGAUCAUGGCUCAGAUUGAAUGCUGGCGGCAGGCCUAACACAUGCAAGUCGAACGGUAACAGGAAGCAGCUUGCUGCUUUGCUGACGAGUGGCGGACGGGUGAGUAAUGUCUGGGAAACUGCCUGAUGGAGGGGGAUAACUACUGGAAACGGUAGCUAAUACCGCAUAACGUCGCAAGACCAAAGAGGGGGACCUU